Molecule: ribosomal RNA, 484 nt
Filed under: uncultured bacterium
Lineage: Bacteria
Description: partial 16S ribosomal RNA
Rfam family: Bacterial small subunit ribosomal RNA
Source: RNAcentral
AUUGAACGCUGGCGGCAUGCUUUACACAUGCAAGUCGAACGGCAGCGCGGGCUUCGGCCUGGCGGCGAGUGGCGAACGGGUGAGUAAUACAUCGGAACGUGCCCAGUAGUGGGGGAUAGCUCGGCGACAGCCGGAUUAAUACCGCAUACGACCUGAGGGUGAAAGCGGGGGAUCUUCGGACCUCGCGCUAUUGGAGCGGCCGAUGGCAGAUUAGCUAGUUGGUGGGGUAAAGGCCUACCAAGGCGACGAUCUGUAGCUGGUCUGAGAGGACGACCAGCCACACUGGGACUGAGACACGGCCCAGACUCCUACGGGAGGCAGCAGUGGGGAAUGUUGGACAAUGGGCGAAAGCCUGAUCCAGCAAUGCCGCGUGUGUGAUGAAGGCCUUCGGGUUGUAAAGCACUUUUGGCGGGAACGAAAAGGACUGUGCCAAUACCACGGUUCGAUGACGGUACCCGCAGAAUAAGCACCGGCUAACUACGUG